This 253-nucleotide ribosomal RNA is filed under the name uncultured bacterium. Its description in RNAcentral is "partial 16S ribosomal RNA". It matches the Rfam family "Bacterial small subunit ribosomal RNA", at positions 524 to 776 of the family's 1533-position model. The record is from RNAcentral.
UACGAAGGGGGCUAGCGUUGCUCGGAAUUACUGGGCGUAAAGCGCACGUAGGCGGCUUUUUAAGUCGGGGGUGAAAUCCUGGAGCUCAACUCCAGAACUGCCUUCGAUACUGAAAAGCUUGAGUUCGGGAGAGGUGAGUGGAACUGCGAGUGUAGAGGUGAAAUUCGUAGAUAUUCGCAAGAACACCAGUGGCGAAGGCGGCUCACUGGCCCGAUACUGACGCUGAGGUGCGAAAGCGUGGGGAGCAAACAGG